RNAcentral lists this small RNA (142 nucleotides) under Octodon degus (degu). Its description in RNAcentral is "Vertebrate telomerase RNA (ENSODEG00000022728.1)". It matches the Rfam family "Vertebrate telomerase RNA", at positions 28 to 168 of the family's 443-position model. Rfam says of the family: Telomerase is a ribonucleoprotein reverse transcriptase that synthesises telomeric DNA. Lineage: Eukaryota; Metazoa; Chordata; Mammalia; Rodentia; Octodontidae. The record is from RNAcentral.
UCUGUCUAACCCUAAAUAUGGAGUGGACAUAGGCGCUGAGCUUAUUCCCUGCGUGCUGUUUUUCUUGCUGACUUUCAGCAUGCGAGAAAGCUUUGGUCUACCUUCUACUACUGUCUUAAUUAAACGCAAAAAUAAUAAUAAU